RNAcentral lists this ribosomal RNA (1944 nucleotides) under Triticum aestivum (bread wheat). Its description in RNAcentral is "partial small subunit ribosomal RNA". The record is from RNAcentral. Lineage: Eukaryota; Viridiplantae; Streptophyta; Magnoliopsida; Poales; Poaceae.
AUGGCUGCUGCUGUGAGCUUUUCCCGCCGAAUACACAUACUCAUGCUUCUGUACUACUAUUCCAUAUGGUCUCUGCACCCGCCUCGUGCUACCUCGCAUUCUUUCAGCUUCAACUUCUCCCAGCCCGGUGGCUAUGACGCCCAAGAUUUCAGUUUCGAGGGCGAUGCAUACUACGACUCCCAGUCUCGGAGGAUCGAGCUGACAAAAGGCGGCGGGAGUCCAAACAUCCAAAACAGCGUGGGCCGAGCAUUGCACGCGCAGCCGGUACCGCUGUGGGAUGUCGACACUGGUGAGCUCACCCGGUUCACCACCUCCUUCACUUUCCGAAUCAAGGUAAAUGGUCCUGUCAGUGGCGAUGGCUUGGCUUUCUUCCUCGGGCAUUAUCCUCCGACAAGCAUUCCUGAUCCCCUCGACAACGGCAAGAACCUUGGACUCUUUAACCGAAACGUCAGCACGGUCGCGACUGGCGAUGAACGAGCGGUGGCGGUUGAGUUUGACACUUUCUUGAACCCCGGCAUCGACACCAGCGGCAGCCACAUGGGCAUCGACGUUAACUCCAUCAUCUCGCGGGCGUACACCAACGUGACAGUGCAUGGCAAGAACUUAACAGCCGGCCUGCCUAUGACUUGCCAUAUCAGCUACGGAAACGACACAAAAAUACUAGCCGCCGUUCUCCAGAUCGGCGACGUCACCUACCAUGUGAAUACAAGUGUUGACCUGCGUCAGCUCUUGCCCAAUGUUGUGUCCAUCGGCUUCUCGGGUGCUACUGGCGUGGCGGUCGAGCUACACCAAAUAAUGUCCUGGUCAUUCAACUCUACCUUGGAUCCGUCGCCUGCACGGAAGAUUUUGUGGAAACAAAUAGCAGUGGUAACUGGGCCAAUUAUUGGAGUUAUUGCAAUCGUGUGCUCCUUUGUUGGAGUCCGUCGAUGGCAGCUGUGCACAAGAAAGAAGCCAUACAAAGCUCUCGCGAAUGGCCGUAAACAUAUUGGGUAUCAUAAGCUGGCACGUGCGACCAAAAAAUUCGCAGAAGAAAACAAGCUUGGUCAAGGAGGUUCUGCCUUUGUUUAUCGGGGCCUUUUGAAAGGUAGCCAGGUGGCUAUAAAGAGAUUCAAGCUGGUUCCAUCGGGCGAGGGGAGGAAGGCGUUCGAGGAUGAACUCAUGAUCGCUAGUCGCCUACGGCAUAAGAAUCUUGUCAAGUUGAUAGGCUGGUGCUACGAUGGCCAGAGGAACCUGGUUGAGUUCAUCUGCUGGUGGUGGGACGAAAGGUACACACGUCUCUUCCUUGUGUAUGAGCUUUUGCAAGAAGGUAGCCUUGAUCGACACCUACACGGGGGCAACAGUUUGUUACCGUGGUCCAAGAGGCACGAGAUUAUCCUCAACCUAGGUUCUGCACUACAAUACCUCCAUGUAGAUUGCGAGCAAGAUCAACAGUGUAUCGUACAUGGUGAUAUCAAAUCGAGUAACAUAUUACUUGGCUCUUCGUUUGUUGCCAAGUUAGGUGACUUCGGAUUGGCAAGAUUCGUUCACCACGAAACCGGGUCACAGACCACAAAUGUUGUACAGGGCACUUUUGGAUACAUAGAUCCUGUGUUCAUUGACACGAGCAAACGGAAUAGGGAGUCAGACAUCUACAGUUUCGGCAUCGUCCUACUAGAGAUGGUCUCUGGAAGGAACCCAACAGAUCAGGAUAUGCCUCCAUUGUCCACAUGGGUAUGGAGUAAGUACAACGGGAAUGUGAUCCUGGAGGCCGUAGACGAAAGGCUGAUGAACGGCCAGUCUACUAAUGGCCUUCAGCAGAUGAAGCAUGCACUACUCAUCGGACUCUUGUGCGCGCACCAGGACCCGAGCAACCGACCGUCCAUCACCGACGCCAUGAAUGCCCUUGGAUCGGAUUCCGAGGAGCUGACACUGGACAUCACUCCCCUAGAGGCGGUGACACACUAA